GAUGAACGCUGGCGGCGUGCCUAAUACAUGCAAGUCGAGCGAACAGACGAGGAGCUUGCUCCUCUGACGUUAGCGGCGGACGGGUGAGUAACACGUGGAUAACCUACCUAUAAGACUGGGAUAACUUCGGGAAACCGGAGCUAAUACCGGAUAAUAUAUUGAACCGCAUGGUUCAAUAGUGAAAGACGGUUUUGCUGUCACUUAUAGAUGGAUCCGCGCCGCAUUAGCUAGUUGGUAAGGUAACGGCUUACCAAGGCAACGAUGCGUAGCCGACCUGAGAGGGUGAUCGGCCACACGGGAACUGAGACACGGUCCAGACUCCUACGGGAGGCAGCAGUAGGGAAUCUUCCGCAAUGGGCGAAAGCCUGACGGAGCAACGCCGCGUGAGUGAUGAAGGUCUUCGGAUCGUAAAACUCUGUUAUUAGGGAAGAACAAAUGUGUAAGUAACUAUGCACGUCUUGACGGUACCUAAUCAGAAAGCCACGGCUAACUACGUG
RNAcentral lists this ribosomal RNA (497 nucleotides) under uncultured bacterium. Its description in RNAcentral is "partial 16S ribosomal RNA". It matches the Rfam family "Bacterial small subunit ribosomal RNA", at positions 28 to 507 of the family's 1533-position model. The record is from RNAcentral.